CCCCUCCUCCUCUCGUCGCCUUCGCGCGCGUGAUCAUGUCCCACAGCUGGCUUGCAUCGCCGCCGUCCUCCUGGAGCCCUCUACCACUCCGUCAGCUCCCCCCGUCAGCUCUCGUCGCCGCGUGCCCACGGGCAAGCUAUAGCCGACCGAGGCUUUAAUGGCGUUCGGAUCCUUCUCCUCUUGUCCUCGAGCUGGCCCUCACCUGCGUGAGCCCUGCCCCUCGUCUGUUCCCUCUUCUUCGCCUUCCCCGAGCUCAUGCGCGAGCACACGCGUCUGCGGCGACGCCAGCUCGGCCUCCUUGCCCCGCGGCUAUUUAAGCCCUCCCUCGAGUCGUUCGAGCACCUCAUCAGCCUCCCUCACUCCUAGCUCCCUCCCCGUCCACUCGCCUGAGCUCCAGAAGCUCUUCUUGCCACUCAUCACCGCCAUGGCCGCCCCUGGCCUCCGCCUAAAUUCGCAGCAACCCGAGCCCUUCUCCUCUCCUAGCUACUACCAGAGAGCGCCUAGACCUCCCCGAGCUUUCCCCGCCCUCCUCCUUGCCCUCUGGUGGCCUCUCGCCGUGCUUCCCAUCACCGACCAAAGCUGUUGUCCGCUGUGGUCGCGGCCCCGCUCGUCCCCGCGUUCUCCGGUGAGCGUGCUGCCCCCAUUCGGGUGCGCCUCUCCGCGCGGAGCAUUUCGGUGGCCGGGGCGUCGCCUGAGUCGUCCCGAGCCGGCCGGACGAGCGCCGGCGCCGUGCUCCUCCUCUGUUCUGCGGGCGCGCCGUCGGGAUGGAGAAAGAAGAAGGGAAGGGAGGAGAGAGAGAGGGAGUGGAUAAGGCGGGCCCCACCAGUCACCCACACCGGAGCCGGCCCCGCGUUGACCCCAAGUGCCAACGUGGAUAAGUGACGGGUCCCACCCCGCGGGACCCGCACGUCAGCGACCCACGCCCGGCCCGGCCACUGUCCACGGGUUAAGUGGAAACGCAUUUCCCAUAAAAACGUUUUCCACCCGAAGGCGCUUUCUGUUUUUCUGUCCAGGCCCAGAUUUUGAAGUUUUUCGUUACAGAUGGGUCCCUGGCAGAAGCACCUCAUAUCUUUUUAACCACAACUCCAAAUGAGCCCCCUCCGAGAGAGUACGUUUUCCGGCGAUCCUUUCCACGAGUUUCUCGCACUUUCUCCUGGUGAUUUCCUCCACCCCAGGCAAGCCACACCCUCCAUUUGCAUGAUUGCAAUGCAUUGACAUGGUUUAAAUUAUUUGAACUUGUUUAAAAUAUUGCUUUAGCUACACGACUUUGUGCAUGGCAAUUUCUCGGAGUUGUAUUUUGAUCUUGUUAUUGCCAUGAUGUUGCUUGGAGUUGGACUUUUAUUUUGCAGCUUAUGUGGUUGACAUGUUGCCAUUGGAUUAUUAGUGGCUUAUGUUAUGAUGGUGGUGUUGGGUAUGAUAUUUUUGGAGUAUUACUUUGGAUAUCAUGUUGCCUUUGGAUUAUUAGUGGUUAGUAUGAUUAUUUUUCAUGAUGGUAUAUGAUAUUUUUGGAGUAUUACUUUGGAUAUCAUGCUGCCUUUGGAUUAUUAGUGGCUAGUAUGAUUAUUUUUCAUGAUGGUAUUUGAUAUUAUUUUGAAGUAUUACUUUGGAUAUCAUGCUGCCUUUGGAUUAUUAGUGGUUAGUAUGAUUAUUUUCAUGAUGGUAUGUGUUAUUAUAUUUUGGAGUAUUACUUUGGAUGUCAUGUUGCCUUCGGAGUAUUAGUGGCUUUUAUGAUUAGUUUCAUGGUGGUUUUGGAUAUAUCUUGGAGUAUUUGCUUUAGAUGUCAUACUGCCUUUGGAUUAUUAGUGGUUAGUAUGAUUAUUUUCAUGAUGCUAGUUGAUGUUCUGUUGCUUGGAGUAUUAUUUUCGGAGAUGAUGUUUACAUGUGGAUCUCAGCCGAAUAGCUUUAUUCUUGUUAUUGGAGUAGUAGGAGUAUUGUUUUCGGAAUCAUCAUGACAGUAGUGUUGUGCUACCCUUGGAGUAUUUUGAGAUGAUGAUAUUAUGCUUGGAUUAUUUGUUGGAUCUAUGAUUUGGAUUAUAGUUUUAUAGUUGAUAUUGGAGUAGCAGUUACCACAGCUAUAUUUUUGGGGAUAAAUUCUGUCAUUAAGUUGGUCAGGCGCCGCCGAACCGGGCUUUUCGAGUGCAACCACACUUGCCUUUAUGGGAAGGCCCUAAUGCGGUCUAUUGUCGUGCCUCUCGCCAGUGCCUCCAACUAGGGAAGGUUAUUGUAACACCCUCGAUGCGACUAUAUCUCCCACGUGUCGAGACACGAC
Molecule: non-coding RNA, 2269 nt
Organism: Triticum urartu
Lineage: Eukaryota; Viridiplantae; Streptophyta; Magnoliopsida; Poales; Poaceae
Source: RefSeq, a predicted model, not a curated record